This 843-nucleotide long non-coding RNA is filed under the name Homo sapiens (human). RNAcentral's name for it is "HSALNT0304212". Lineage: Eukaryota; Metazoa; Chordata; Mammalia; Primates; Hominidae. The record is from RNAcentral.
UAUUCCACUCAAUGAGGAUUCCCUUCAAAUCCAUUUGAUGAUUGUAUUCAAGUCCAUUCAGUGAUUGCUUUCGAUUCCAUUCGAUAUUGAUUCCCUUUGAUUCCAUUCGAUGAGGAUUCCAUUCGAUGUCAUUCUAGGAUUCCAUUCGAUUCCAUUUGAUGUUGAUUGCAUUUGAUUCCAUUUGAUUAUUCUAUUCGAUAAUUUUGAUGACGAUUCCAUUCGAUUCCAUUCAGUGAUUCCAGUUCAUUACAGUUGAUGAUGAUUCCUUUCGAUUCCAUUCGAUGAUUCCAAUUGAUUCCAAUCGAUGAUGAUUCCAUUCGAGUCCAUUCGAUGAUUCCAUUCGAUUCCAUUCAAUGAUGAUUCCAUUCGAGUCCAUUCAAUGGUGAUUCCAUUGGAUUCCAUUCGGUGAUGCCAUUCGAUUCCGUUCGAUGAAAGCAUUCGAUUCCAUUUGAUGAUUCCCUUCGAUUCCAUUCAAAGUUUAUUCCAUUCGAGUCCAUUUGAUAAUUCCAUUCGAUUCCAUUCUCCGAGGAUUCCACUGGAGUCCGUUCGAUGAUUCCAUUCAAUUCCAGUUGAUGAUGAUUCCAUUCGAGUCCAUUCAAUGAUUUCAUUGGAUUCCAUUUGAUGAUGACUCCUUCCGGUUCCAUUCCAUGAUGAUUCCAUUCGGUUCCAUUAGAUAGUGAUUCCAUUCAAGUCCAUUCGAUGAUUCCAUUCGAUUCCAUUCGAUGAUGAUUCCAUUCCGGUCCAUUCGAUGUUUCCUUUCGAUUAAACUUGAUGUUGAUUCCAUUUGAGUCCAUUUGAUUAUUCCCUUUGACUGCAUUCCAUGAUUCCUUUCGAUUCCAUUUG